Molecule: non-coding RNA, 93 nt
Organism: Mycena epipterygia
Lineage: Eukaryota; Fungi; Basidiomycota; Agaricomycetes; Agaricales; Mycenaceae
Source: the annotation of a GenBank genome assembly
AGCCUCGUAGUCCAAUGGUGCGAUACCGUGCAUUCUACAAAAAAUCGACAGCAACGUAGCCGGAGAGUGCGGGUUCGAUUCCCGCCGGGGCAG